This 253-nucleotide ribosomal RNA is filed under the name uncultured bacterium. RNAcentral describes it as "partial 16S ribosomal RNA". It matches the Rfam family "Bacterial small subunit ribosomal RNA", at positions 524 to 776 of the family's 1533-position model. The record is from RNAcentral.
UACGAAGGGUGCAAGCGUUAAUCGGAAUUACUGGGCGUAAAGCGCGCGUAGGUGGUUCAGUAAGUUGGAUGUGAAAUCCCCGGGCUCAACCUGGGAACUGCAUCCAAAACUGCUGAGCUAGAGUACGGUAGAGGGUGGUGGAAUUUGCUGUGUAGCGGUGAAAUGCGUAGAUAUAGGAAGGAACACCAGUGGCGAAGGCGACCACCUGGACUGAUACUGACACUGAGGUGCGAAAGCGUGGGGAGCAAACAGG